RNAcentral lists this ribosomal RNA (269 nucleotides) under uncultured Eubacteriales bacterium. Its description in RNAcentral is "uncultured Clostridiales bacterium partial 16S ribosomal RNA". It matches the Rfam family "Bacterial small subunit ribosomal RNA", at positions 71 to 339 of the family's 1533-position model. The record is from RNAcentral. Lineage: Bacteria; Bacillati; Bacillota; Clostridia; Eubacteriales.
UCGGCCCCGCAAGGGACUGACUUAGUGGCGAACGGGUGAGUAACGCGUGAGCAACCUGCCUUUCAGUGGGGGGACAACAGUUGGAAACGACUGCUAAUACCGCAUAAUGCAUUUUGACCGCAUGAUCGAGAUGCCAAAGAUUUAUUGCUGAAAGAUGGGCUCGCGUCUGAUUAGAUAGUUGGUGGGGUAACGGCCCACCAAGUCGACGAUCAGUAGCCGACCUGAGAGGGUGAUCGGCCACAUUGGGACUGAGACACGGCCCAAACUCC